This 253-nucleotide ribosomal RNA is filed under the name uncultured bacterium. RNAcentral's name for it is "partial 16S ribosomal RNA". It matches the Rfam family "Bacterial small subunit ribosomal RNA", at positions 524 to 776 of the family's 1533-position model. The record is from RNAcentral.
UACGUAGGGGGCUAGCGUUGUCCGGAAUCAUUGGGCGUAAAGCGCGUGUAGGCGGUCCGGUAAGUCCGCUGUGAAAGUCGGGGGCUCAACCCUCGGAUGCCGGUGGAUACUGUCGGACUAGAGUCCGGAAGAGGCGAGUGGAAUUCCCGGUGUAGCGGUGAAAUGCGCAGAUAUCGGGAGGAACACCAAUGGCGAAGGCAGCUCGCUGGGACGGUACUGACGCUGAGGCGCGAAAGCGUGGGGAGCAAACAGG